GUUCAUGUAGCUUAAUAACAAAGCAAGACACUGAAAAUGUCUAGAUGAGUUAUAUAACUCCAUAAACA
Molecule: transfer RNA, 68 nt
Filed under: Arctodus simus (giant short-faced bear)
Lineage: Eukaryota; Metazoa; Chordata; Mammalia; Carnivora; Ursidae
Description: tRNA-Phe
Rfam family: tRNA
About the family: Transfer RNA (tRNA) molecules are approximately 80 nucleotides in length. Their secondary structure includes four short double-helical elements and three loops (D, anti-codon, and T loops).
Source: RNAcentral